RNAcentral lists this ribosomal RNA (278 nucleotides) under uncultured bacterium. Its description in RNAcentral is "partial 16S ribosomal RNA". It matches the Rfam family "Bacterial small subunit ribosomal RNA", at positions 506 to 783 of the family's 1533-position model. The record is from RNAcentral.
UGCCAGCAGCCGCGGUAAUACGGAGACUGCAAGCGUUGUUCGGAAUUAUUGGGCGUAAAGAGCAUGUAGGCGGACUGUUAAGUCUGAUGUGAAAGCCCGGGGCUCAACCCCGGAAGUGCAUUGGAAACUGGCGAACUUGAGUACGGGAGAGGAAAGUGGAAUUCCGAGUGUAGGGGUGAAAUCCGUAGAUAUUCGGAGGAACACCAGUGGCGAAGGCGGCUUUCUGGACCAAUACUGACGCUGAGAUGCGAAAGCGUGGGGAGCGAACAGGAUUAGAU